This 253-nucleotide ribosomal RNA is filed under the name uncultured bacterium. Its description in RNAcentral is "partial 16S ribosomal RNA". It matches the Rfam family "Bacterial small subunit ribosomal RNA", at positions 524 to 776 of the family's 1533-position model. The record is from RNAcentral.
UACAGAGGGGGCAAGCGUCGUCCGGAUUUAUUGGGCGUAAAGCGCGCGCAGGUGGUUCUUUAAGUCUGAUGUGAAAGCCCACGGCUCAACCGUGGAGGGUCAUUGGAAACUGGGGAACUUGAGUGCAGAAGAGGAAAGUGGAAUUCCAAGUGUAGCGGUGAAAUGCGUAGAGAUUUGGAGGAACACCAGUGGCGAAGGCGACUUUCUGGUCUGUAACUGACACUGAGGCGCGAAAGCGUGGGGAGCAAACAGG